RNAcentral lists this unclassified non-coding RNA (366 nucleotides) under uncultured Thelephoraceae. RNAcentral's name for it is "sequence contains ITS1". The stretch from base 1 to 106 matches the Rfam family "5.8S ribosomal RNA", at positions 50 to 154 of the family's 154-position model. The record is from RNAcentral. Lineage: Eukaryota; Fungi; Basidiomycota; Agaricomycetes; Thelephorales; Thelephoraceae.
GAAAUGCGAUAAGUAAUGUGAAUUGCAGAAUUCAGUGAAUCAUCGAAUCUUUGAACGCACCUUGCGCCCUUUGGCUAUUCUGAAGGGCAUGCCUGUUUGAGUAUCAUGAACACCUCAACUCUCGUGGUUUGCCGCGAUGAGCUUGGACUUUGGGGGUCUUGCCGGCCUAUGGUCGGCUCCUCUCAAAUGAAUCAGCUUGCCAGUGUUUGGUGGUGUCCCAGGUGUGAUAAAUAUCUACGCUUGUGGUUUUCCACCAGGUAACCUUCAGCAAUGGAGGUUCGCUGGAGCUCAUAAAUGUCUCUCCUCAGCGAGGACAGCUUUUGAACGUUUGAUCUCAAAUCAGGUAGGACUACCCGCUGAACUUAA